This is a long non-coding RNA of Oxyura jamaicensis (ruddy duck), 464 nucleotides long. RefSeq lists it as uncharacterized. The transcript is spliced from 4 exons. NCBI's taxonomy places the organism in Eukaryota, Metazoa, Chordata, Aves, Anseriformes, Anatidae. The record is from RefSeq and is a predicted model, not a curated record.
GUGAAUGUCCAUAGCGAGGCAAUGAGCAACAAAUGGGCUGUUUAAUGAAGCCCUCUAACACUGUCUUUCCUUUGCUCUUCAAUAGGUACACGAAGGUCUGAAGGACCAAGUUGAGGAUCUACGAAAGCAGACAAGGAGACAAAGGUGGUGGUCUGGUGAGCUGUGCUGCUGGGACUACUGGGACUCCGUGUGACUGACUGCUCAGCGCAAUGUGACAGCAGCGGAGGUGUGGCUAGGACCAGGCUUGCCUGAUGCAGAGGUCUGAGUGCUUUUCAGCAUCACUGGACAAAAAGAGGUUCUUUACUGCGUCUGAUGACAGACAAAAAGGGCACGCUUUGCACGGCAGAGAAGAUCUUCCAUUCGCAGACCCCAUCGGACUUGGAGAUCUUAUAGAAGGUUUCGCCCGAGCCGACGGGGAUACGGACCACACCUUUGCCACUUUCCAUGCUUUGGCUGGCGGGAUG